Molecule: small nucleolar RNA, 106 nt
Filed under: Claviceps purpurea 20.1
Lineage: Eukaryota; Fungi; Ascomycota; Sordariomycetes; Hypocreales; Clavicipitaceae
Description: A. fumigatus snoRNA Afu_304
Rfam family: A. fumigatus snoRNA Afu_304
Source: Rfam by way of RNAcentral
CUUUAUGAUGACAAAAGGCCAAUUGGCCUGAUCUAACCCCAGCUCGUCGAAUGCCUCACCUAAACAACGCUAGAGUGCAUCAUGAGAUAACAUCGAAUCUGAUAAG